Molecule: ribosomal RNA, 440 nt
Filed under: uncultured bacterium
Lineage: Bacteria
Description: partial 16S ribosomal RNA
Rfam family: Bacterial small subunit ribosomal RNA
Source: RNAcentral
CCUACGGGAGGCAGCAGUGGGGAAUAUUGCACAAUGGGGGAAACCCUGAUGCAGCGACGCCGCGUGAGUGAAGAAGUAUUUCGGUAUGUAAAGCUCUAUCAGCAGGGAAGAAAAUGACGGUACCUGUUUAAGAAGCCCCGGCUAACUACGUGCCAGCAGCCGCGGUAAUACGUAGGGGGCAAGCGUUAUCCGGAUUUACUGGGUGUAAAGGGAGCGUAGACGGCAGCACAAGUCUGGAGUGAAAUGCCGGGGCUUAACCCCGGAACUGCUUUGGAAACUGUGCAGCUAGAGUGCAGGAGAGGUAAGUGGAAUUCCUGGUGUAGCGGUGAAAUGCGUAGAGAUUAGGAGGAACACUAGUGGCGAAGGCGGCUUACUGGACUGUAACUGACGUUGAGGCUCGAAAGCGUGGGGAGCAAACAGGAUUAGAUACCCUGGUAGUC